CCCACUAAAAAUAGAUUAUAACUUGAGAUUCAAUUUUAUUUUUAAAUACUGUAAUACUCAAUUUUAUUGUUAUAAUAAAUAAUUAAUCUCAUCGAAACUACUCUACAAAUGUUAGUAAAAAAUUAAAACAAAAAAGAAAAGGAAAACAGAUAUGCUUCCCUAUGUGUGGUACAAUUGAAUUGUUGCCUACACAUCAGCACAAACGGAAAUUACCAAAACACCCCUCAAGCCCCC
Molecule: long non-coding RNA, 234 nt
Filed under: Gossypium raimondii (Peruvian cotton)
Lineage: Eukaryota; Viridiplantae; Streptophyta; Magnoliopsida; Malvales; Malvaceae
Description: long non-coding RNA (GRAI_LNC002424)
Source: RNAcentral